Long non-coding RNA from Hevea brasiliensis (rubber tree), 1405 nucleotides. RefSeq lists it as uncharacterized. The record is from RefSeq and is a predicted model, not a curated record. Lineage: Eukaryota; Viridiplantae; Streptophyta; Magnoliopsida; Malpighiales; Euphorbiaceae. The transcript has 7 exons.
AAGAACAAGCAAAGUCUUUAAUUCUAUCGCAGAGAGAAAGAAUCUAUUAUCAGAGCACACUUCACAGCAAAGGUGGCGAAAUAAUGUUGGUCGGUAUGGCCAAGAAGACCGAGCCAUAGAAGCCAAUACAGGUUACAGUGGAUGAUGAAUGAGAAUGGUGCAGUAGAAUCCUUGGGUAGGCGGUCCUUUUCCUUGUAGGAUUUAGUAUGUAUAAUCCUUUUCCUGUAGGAUUUACUUUCAAAUUCACAGUGUCGUUUGCCCUUAGAGAGUUGGUGUUUGAUUGAACAGCGUUUUUUUUUUGGCGUUUAAUAAAUUCGCUGCUAACUAGAGGCAAUUACAAGCACAUAACUAUUCAAUGCCAAUCGUCCGAUGCGGUCUCUCUCUCUAUUCAGAUCCCUAAUUUAUAUAUCUGUGGUUACGGCUUUCAAAUUUAUUUCAUCAAUUUCAAAAGCUCGCAAUUUUAUCCAAAAAUUCGAGAGGAAAUGGCGCUGAGGAAGUUCUACAGCGAGAUAAAGGGGUUGAAAGUGAAGAAAGUGCCCAACUAUGUAAAGCGGAUGCUAUCAAUCGAUUACGUGAAGAAAUAGGUGCAGAAAUCUUUGGACAAUUACCACGGCAAUGACAUCAAGACCAGCCCCAUUGAUCCUCUCUACCGUGAUGGUGGCAUGAUCUUUUCCAACCUUGUUGCUCUUCCGGAGGAGCACCGCCACUUCGAGCGCUAGCAACACUAAGGAGCACGACCACUGAUUCGUUGACUUAUCAAUUCAUCAUCUGUCAGUGAUUCAGUGAACUUCCUCUUGGAGCUUCGGUGCAUCAGGAGUUAGAACAGCAGAUGCCCUCAUCUGAUAUUCCAUCCAAAAUUCUUUGUCAAGUGAUCAAAAUUGAUCUUCAGCAAAGAGAGUUUUCUGGCACCAAUCCUGAACUCCUGAAACCUGCAGAAAGAUGCACGGGAAAUUCAUUUUAGAAAACACUUACUGCUUCGGAUGAUAUGCAGCAACAGACACCUUGUCAACAAUUGAUUGCAAAAGAUCUGCACGGCAACGAGUGGCAUUUCCAACAUGUUAAUCAGACUUGGAGCUUCGGUGCAUCAGGAGUUAGAACAGCAGAUGCCCUCAUCUGAUAUUCCAUCAAAAAUUCUUUGGCAAGUGAUCAAAAUUGAUCUUCAGCAAAGAGAGUUUACUGGCAGCAAUCCUGAACUCCUGAAACCUGCAGAAAGAUGCACGGUGAAUUCAUUUUAGAAAACACUUGCUGCUUCGGAUGUAAGCAAGCAUUGUACUUCAAAUAUUUAUCAAAAGCAUGCAUAGGAAUGUCUACCAGCAUUGGAUAUGCAGCAACAGACACCUUGUCAACAAUUGAUUGCAAAAGAUCUGCACGGCAACGAGUGGAAUUUCCAGCAUGUUAAUCAGUG